UGGUUAAUGGAUGGAAUUCCACCAACACAAUGGCGGACUACAUCAGCAACAUGUGAACUCCCUGUGGGAGUGAAAGGUGGCUGUGAAAAGAUCUUUCUUGACUCACACCUGCAGCAUCAGUCACCUCUCCACUGUCCAUAAGCUGCAGUGUGUGUGUACGCACUGUUUUGAGCAGUCAGAUGGAGAGCAGAGAAGUGUAUCAAUCUGGUUUUACAAGUUCUUCUAGAAAUGCAUCUUUCUGUUAAAAUUACAGUUAUGGUAGGACAUACAUGAUUUUACUUUGUCAUUAGCUGUGUGACAUAUUUCAUCGGCUCCAUUUAUGUGACAUUUAUUUAAUGCAACAUUUAAUAUGUUCUCUUGUAUCAGAGCACACAAAAUAAACAAGUAUCCUGUUAGUUUGA
Non-coding RNA from Plectropomus leopardus (leopard coralgrouper), 401 nucleotides. NCBI's taxonomy places the organism in Eukaryota, Metazoa, Chordata, Actinopteri, Perciformes, Serranidae. The record is from RefSeq and is a predicted model, not a curated record.